CAUAAUAUAACAUAAACUAAAUACCAUAAUAAAACAUAAACCAAAAUAUUCUAAAAUGAAAAACAUCACACUAAGGUACCGUUUGGUUCGGGUAUAAGAUAGAACUGCUAGUUCCAGGGAUAGGUAUAAAUAUUGGAACUAGCUAGAACUAGUGUAUUUUUGUGUUUGGUUGAGUAUUAGAUUUGUACCAGGUAUAAGAAAAAUAGUGUUUGGAUGUAUAAGAUAGAAUAAGAGGAAUAAAGUAUGAAAGGGAUUAAAAAUAGGUAACAAAAAUUAAUUAAAUAAAUAAUGAAUUACAAUAUUGUUAAAAAACAUUACUAAUUAUUUAAUGAAUAUUUUUUUGUCAACUUGCGCUCGUUAGAAUUAAAUUAUACUUCUCGAAAAAAUAAUUUUAAACUUUCAUACUGCAAUAAGAUUUAUAACAAACUAACCAAAUUAAUAACUAUAGUAAAAUAAAGAAACAUUCAAACCUUUUCAUACACAUGUUAUAUACAAUUUGUUACAAACACUGUCUUUCCACCUUUUACAUACAUUUCAAUCCAUAUUGCAAACAACAUAUUAAUAAUUUAUCCAGAAAAUACCAAGUAAUAUUUGCCUGCGAAUAUAGUCGAGAAAUACAAGUUCGCAAAUUUAAAUAUAAGAUCAUUCAAAAGUAACAUGUAUUAUAAUAUUUNUGAUAAAACUUUGAGAGCCAAAUUAUUAAGAUUAAAAGUUCAUAUUGUGGAAAUAUUAAAUUGUUAAAAAAAUACUAUUUAUAUAUUCUAAAAAUAAUGUGUAUUAUAGAGUCGGAUUAUAAUAUUUUUAAUAGUACCAAGUACUUUGGUGUUAUCAAAUUUUUUAUUGACUUUAAUUUUUUAAUUAUUUUUAUCUGUUAGAUCAUAGUCAUAAAAAAUUACUAUUAUCCUAACCGCACGUUUCUUUAUCGAAGGGCCAAAAAUCUAAUAGCACCAACUGUUUGGUGCUAUUAGAAGCAUUUCAAUCUAAUUCAUAUAUAACGCUUUCAUUCUAAGAUUUAAAAAUCUUUUGAGUUUUUAGGUUUUUUAAACAAAGUUGAUAAAAUAACGGCAAAUAAUGAGAGCCCUGAAUUACCGCUCAAAGUAACCAAUGAUUGAUUGGGUACCUUCUGGGGUACCCGUAGUAUCGCCCAAAGAAGGGCCAAUCCAACUUAAAAAAAAAAAAGAAUUUGAAACAGAGAUAACAAUAUAUCGCGCACCCAUGUGAGUGAGUAAGAUUGCGGCAUAGGAGGAGACGCACUUUCUUUUACCGCCCCAUCGGAUAUUUCAGAGCACACAUACAUCACUUUUAAAAAAACCCUUUAUUCACUAUUCAGUAUUCACCUUUCCCCUUCGCCAUGGCUCCCUCUCUCCCCUCCUUCUUCUUCAUCCUCCUCCUACGAACCCUAACAAUGGCGUACGCCGCCACCUCCCCCGACGACAUCGAAGCCCUAAGAUCCUUCGUGGCCGCGGUGGAGCCCGCCUCCGUCCCCGCGGGGUCGUGCCUCAGCACCUGGGACUUGGCCCGCGACCCCUGCGACUCCGCGUUCGGCCCCUUCUUCACCUGCGGCCUCCUCUGCUCCGACCCCUCCCCCGCAGCCCCCCUCCGCCGCGUCACCGCCGUCGCCCUCGCCGGCUCCGCCUACUCCGGCGACGCCGCCGCGGCGGUCGCGGCCCUCCUCUCCCUCCCCUUCCUCUCCUCCCUCGACCUCUCCGACAAGCCGCUUCUCCGGGCCCCUCCCCGCCUCCCCCGACCGCUCUACCGCUACCCCCUCGCCUCCUCCGCCUCUCACCUCAUCGCAACCCUCUCCGGCCCAUCCCCUCCUCCUCUUCCCCCUUGUCGCCUGCCUCGCCGCUUGCGGGAGCUCUACCUCCGACGGGAACCCUCCUUCGCGCCCGAUCCCCGCGAGCUCCAUCGCUCCCUCCGCGCCCUCGCUACCGACCUCGAUCUCCGAUCCAACAACCUCUCGGGCCGUCUAUCUCUCUCUCUGCCCCGUCCGGGGCUCCUCACUUGUCAGGCGAGCGACACUUCGAACGCGCUCUGGGCCCUUUCCGGCCCGGUGCGGCUCUCCCCGCGUCCGCUCCUCCCGCUCGCUCCGCGGCAACACGCCUCCGCGGCGGCUGACGGGCGCGUCCCUAGGGCGCUGCCCGCGUCAGUAUCGCGUGCUGGCCUGGCCGGGAAGCGCUGGAGGCGGCGCCCCGGCGCGGCGUUCGCGCCGACACCGCCUGGAGCAAGCUUGAACGCUGGCGUCCGAAACCGGGCUGGGGGGGUCGAGGUGAGGAGCCCGACGGGCGUGGUCGACGAGCCGGCUGUGGCGGUGGAGCUGGGCGGAAUACCGAACGGGGCGCGCUGCGGGCUUCUUUGGGAUGAUGCCGCGGCUGGCGGGCGGUGGUGCUGGAGGGGAACCGUUCGCGGGUCAUCCCGCCGGCAGUACGCGCUGCGGUGCGGGCCUCUGGUCUGCGGGACAUGGGCCCGUUCGGCAGCGGCGAUGCUGGCGGGAAAUACGCUGAUUGGGACCGAUACCGAGCCCGAAUGGAGGGGUGAAGGAUGGGAUGCCGAUGGGACGCUGGCGACAACUGGCAUCCUCCGCUGCCGCCCCGCAGUGUACUUCUUCUCUCCAGGGCCUGCCCUCAGAAGCCGCGCCGCCACGUGUUCAGCGCCUUCAACCCCGCCAACCCCCUCACUUAAACUAAACUUCACUUUAAUUUUUUGAUUUAUCGAUGAUGAUGAUGUGAUUAGAGUGUGCUGUAAAAGACAUAUCAUAAAUAUAUAUUAGAUAAUAUAGGGAAAAAGAAAAUGUAGGAAAAGAAAGGACUUGCAGGGCACGGUGUGUAAAACAAAAAAAAUAACGAUCCGCUGAAUGUUGCGAAGAAUGGUACGGACUGUAAAGAGUUUUUUUUUUAAAAAAAUUAAUGUAAUAAAUUAAUUGUGUUUUUAAGGAUAUCGGAGCUUGAACUUGGGAAAGAAGAAGAGCUCAGUGGAAGGAAAGUACUUAAUUAGGCGAUAUCAGCAUUCCCUAGGUACCGUUUGGUUCGGGUAUAAGAUAGAACUGCUAGUUCCAGGGAUAGGUAUAAAUGUUGGAACUAGCUAGAACUAGUGUAUUUUUGUGUUUGGUUGAGUAUUAGAUUUGUACCAGGUAUAAGAAAAAUAGUGUUUGGAUGUAUAAGAUAGAAUAAGAGGAAUAAAGUAUGAAAGGAAUUAAAAAUAGGUAACAAAAAUUAAUUAAAUAAAUAAUGAAUUACAAUAUUGUUAAAAAACAUUACUAAUUAUUUAAUGAAUAUUUUUUUGUCAACUUGCGCUCGUUAGAAUUAAAUUAUACUUCUCGAAAAAAUAAAUUUAAACUUUUAUACUGCAAUAAGAUUUAUAACAAACUUACCAAAUUAAUAACUAUAGUAAAAUAAAGAAACAUUCAAACCUUUUCAUACACAUGUUAUAUACCAUUUGUUACAAACACUGUCUUUCCACCUUUUACAUACAUUUCAAUCCAUAUUGCAUACAACAUAUUAAUAAUCAUAUAAGAAUAUUUCUAACCAUCUUAUUAAAUAUUUAACACAAUAUAGACUAUGCUACAAACUUUACGAAACAUUGACGAUAAAACAAUACAAAAGACAAACCAUCCGUUAGCAUACAUUACAAAAGCGUAGCAGACAUUAAUAAGUAU
This 3655-nucleotide long non-coding RNA is filed under the name Ananas comosus (pineapple). RNAcentral describes it as "long non-coding RNA (ACOM_LNC029086)". Lineage: Eukaryota; Viridiplantae; Streptophyta; Magnoliopsida; Poales; Bromeliaceae. The record is from RNAcentral.